GUAAAGGUCAGCUUAGGCUGCAGUGUGAGAAUAGUCUCAGAAAGAACCACCACUACCAUUACCUCCAUGUCAGAAAUGGACCAACAAGAAGCAGGAGUACGAUUGCUGACUGACAGCUGUCGCUUGUUGGAGAGCCUGCUUCUUUGUUUAGCAGUAGUGAAAGUCGUCCUGUUGAUGUGGUGAUCAGUGGAAGGAGAACUAAUGGAAGUCUCUUUAAACUUUAAAAAAAAAAAAAGGAUUCUGAAGGUGACACCCCUCUCCAUGAUGCCAUAAGUAAGAAACGGGAUGACAUUCUGGCAGUUCUUCUGGAAGCUGGAGCAGAUGUGACCAUCACGAACAAUAACGGGUUCAAUGCCCUGCACCAUGCUGCACUGAGAGGGAACCCCAGGUAAUGGUCCUCCUUUAUUGUUUUAGGUGCUACUUAAAGAUGGUUUCCUGUUGCCUGUGGUAGUCAUUUUCCUGAAUGCCUUCAUUCAUUAGGUACAUGUUGCUCCAGUAUAAAUAUUGGGAAGUAGUCUAUUGAAUGUAGAUAUAAAAUACUUAAAGAUUUUAAUCAAACGUGCCUUAAGAUUUUUUGCUUCUUCAACAUCCUUCUCAAGUUGUCUUCUAAUCUCACAUAUUAUCCAUUUACAUGAUGUCAGGUAUUUAUGAUCAAUUGUGUUAUUUAGAUAUGUGAUACCAAGGAGCCUUAAUUAUAUUCUAGUAAUGGGUGUUCUACAAGAAUAAAAGGGAUUGCUGGUUAAAAUUUGAGAGGGCUGCUUUUGGAGACAAGUACAAAUGAUAAGGUUUUCAUAAACAACUUGUAUCUCCUUAUAGUUAGGUAAAGCACUAUAAUAUAUUGACUAAGAAAACUAAUCACUUUGAUGUUUGCUUUAUCUAUUGUGACAUUUUUUAAAGAUUUAUUUUUUUUAUGUAUAUGAGUAUUAUACAUAAAAUGUCUGUCUUCAGACACCAGAAGAGGGCAUUGGAUUCCCAUCACAGAUGGCUGUGAAGACACCAUAUUAUGCUGGGAAUUGAACUCGGGAUCUCUGGAGGAGCAGUCAGUGCUCUUAACUGCUGAGCCAUCUCUCCAGCUAUUGUGAAUACUUAUUCUUUGGAAUUCCAUAAUAUGUGUGUGGGUUUCUUUUUAAAUUCUUUGGAUAGUUUUACAUGUUCAUCGCUCAUUAAUGUAUUUUAUAUCAUAUUUCAAUUUUCUCUUUUGCUGUGUUUAAAAUUUCUUAGGAUGACCACUUGAGGGUAGUUACAGAAGACAACAGGGUUUUUUGGGACUGCUGUUUUCGGUGCUUCAAUGCCAUUUUGUCCAGUACACACUGAAUUGUUUUCAGAUGACAGAUAUUUGAACUCUUCAUACAUUUGCAUUGUAAAGGAGCUAGUAAUUAUCAUGUCUCCAGCCUUAAGACAGAUGACAACAAUGAUAAGCCUCUUCUCAGCGCAUCGUGUACAUCGUCUCAGUUCUUUUAAAAGCUGAAGUUUUAAGGCCUUAAGUUGGUGUUUUGCUAGCACUGUUGGUGAUUGUAUUUAGGCAGCUUUGAAGCACUGUGCCAUCAAGUUGUGGUCCCAGCCCUCUGACUAGCUUCUGGUUGAGUGUGAGAGCCUCAUUUUAUUUAUAUGCCUGGGGUUGCAUUCAAGCCCAUUUCUUUUUCUUUUUUAGGAUAGUUUUAUUGUGUAGCUCAAGUGGUCCUGGAGCUGUCUGUCAUCUUCCUGCCUCAGUCUUUAGUGCUGGGGUUAUGGGCUGAGUGUCUAGAGCCCCUCUCUGACUUUUCUCCCACUAAUUAAAUCUUCCAGCCUCCCUUGCCCUGUAGUUGUGUUACCGUCUAAAGUGGCUGUCUUCUCUCUUCCUCCCGGCUCUUAAACGUUUUCUUCCAUGACCGUGUUGUCUUAGCCACCUUUCCUUUCUUCCCACCUGCAACUGCCUCCUCCUCUCUGAUAGAGUUCUGUUGUGUUUGUUACUCACAUGUGUGGCCUGCUUAGUGCGGUCUGUUAACUGUGUACAUUUCCAUAUUCCUUUUCCAUGAGGACUAGAGAUGUUCAUAUUCAUGUGUAUGUCUUCCACAUUUAUACAGUAGACAUUCAAAUUAGUCUUAACAGUAAAGACACCACAAGAUUUCAAGAAGAUAAUGUAUAAUUAAUUACAGAAUUCUUUGUAAUUCUUGGAUUUUUCAGAAAAUAAUGCUAACAGUGACUCCUUCAACCAGCUACUUUGUGUUAGAUGACAUU
Molecule: long non-coding RNA, 2217 nt
Filed under: Mus musculus (house mouse)
Lineage: Eukaryota; Metazoa; Chordata; Mammalia; Rodentia; Muridae
Description: long non-coding RNA chr18:10777912-10780129
Source: RNAcentral